This 274-nucleotide ribosomal RNA is filed under the name uncultured bacterium. Its description in RNAcentral is "partial 16S ribosomal RNA". It matches the Rfam family "Bacterial small subunit ribosomal RNA", at positions 523 to 796 of the family's 1533-position model. The record is from RNAcentral.
AUACGGAGGGUGCAAGCGUUACUCGGAAUCACUGGGCGUAAAGCGCGCGCAGGCGGCCAUUUAAGUUGGAUGUGAAGGCCUACGGCUCAACCGUAGAACUGCAUCCAAAACUAUUUGGCUAGAGUGUGGGAGAGGAAGAUGGAAUUAGUUGUGUAGGGGUAAAAUCCGUAGAGAUAACUAGGAAUACCAAAAGCGAAGGCAAUCUUCUGGAACACUACUGACGCUGAGGCGCGAAAGCGUGGGGAGCAAACGGGAUUAGAAACCCUAGUAGUCC